This 29-nucleotide non-coding RNA is filed under the name Rattus norvegicus (Norway rat). The record is from RNAcentral. Lineage: Eukaryota; Metazoa; Chordata; Mammalia; Rodentia; Muridae.
UCAGGAAUCUGUGUAUUAGUGGUGAAGGC